AUAUUUUAUCAUUCCAAUUAAAAAUAAUAAACAUUUUCUCAAACGUUCGAAUAAUUAAAUCUUGGGUAUCUAAAAUUCAACGGAAAACCAAAAUGAUUUGUACUGAUUUUUGAACAGAGAUUCUACCGAACGGUACAGUUGGUCUAAUUGUUUAGCCAAAUGAACAGAAAUACAUGUGGGAACCCUAUGCUUCUGACAUUAGCAGAGGUAAAUAGGUUGACAAUUGUCUCCUUGUAAAUAAAAGCUGCGUCUUAGAUCAAACAUCAAGACAGAUAUUUCUUUUAAAUGCAUGCCUUUCGCUCGGUCUUUCUCAACCUUGUCAGACAAACUGAUGGUGAAAAAUUGAUCGUUUAAAUUGAAUAACGAAGUCUCUAACAAUAAAAUAUUUUAUGGUGAGUUGAUUUUCAAGAAAUGUAAAAGUUGAUUACAGUACCGUCGCGCACAAUUAGGGAGCCUCACGAUAGUUAAUUUGAACAUUUCUUGAACUAAAUAUAUAGGUAUAUAUUGUUAAAUCGAAA
Molecule: long non-coding RNA, 518 nt
Organism: Wyeomyia smithii (pitcher-plant mosquito)
Lineage: Eukaryota; Metazoa; Arthropoda; Insecta; Diptera; Culicidae
Exons: 2
Source: RefSeq, a predicted model, not a curated record